UACGGAAGGCAGCAGUGGGGAAUAUUGCACAAUGGGCGCAAGCCUGAUGCAGCCAUGCCGCGUGUAUGAAGAAGGCCUUCGGGUUGUAAAGUACUUUCAGUCGUGAGGAAGGUGUUAAGGUUAAUAACCUUAGCAAUUGACGUUAGCGACAGAAGAAGCACCGGCUAACUCCGUGCCAGCAGCCGCGGUAAUACGGAGGGUGCGAGCGUUAAUCGGAAUUACUGGGCGUAAAAGGGCACGCAGGCGGUUAAUUAAGUUGGAUGUGAAAUCCCCGGGCUUAACCUGGGAAUGGCAUUCAAGACUGGUUAGCUAGAGUCUUGUAGAGGGGGUAGAAUUCCAUGUGUAGCGGUGAAAUGCGUAGAGAUGUGGAGGAAUACCGGGUGGCGAAGGCGGCCCCUGGGACAAAGACUGACGCUCAUGUGCGAAAGCGUGGGGAGCAAACAGGGAUUAGAUACC
This 456-nucleotide ribosomal RNA is filed under the name uncultured bacterium. RNAcentral's name for it is "bacterial SSU rRNA". It matches the Rfam family "Bacterial small subunit ribosomal RNA", at positions 340 to 786 of the family's 1533-position model. The record is from RNAcentral.